This 560-nucleotide ribosomal RNA is filed under the name uncultured bacterium. Its description in RNAcentral is "partial 16S ribosomal RNA". It matches the Rfam family "Bacterial small subunit ribosomal RNA", at positions 355 to 907 of the family's 1533-position model. The record is from RNAcentral.
UGGGGAAUAUUGGACAAUGGGCGCAAGCCUGAUCCAGCCAUACCGCGUGGGUGAAGAAGGCCUUCGGGUUGUAAAGCCCUUUUGUUGGGAAAGAAAUCCAGCCGGCUAAUACCUGGUUGGGAUGACGGUACCCAAAGAAUAAGCACCGGCUAACUUCGUGCCAGCAGCCGCGGUAAUACGAAGGGUGCAAGCGUUACUCGGAAUUACUGGGCGUAAAGCGUGCGUAGGUGGUCGUUUAAGUCCGUUGUGAAAGCCCUGGGCUCAACCUGGGAACUGCAGUGGAUACUGGGCGACUAGAGUGUGGUAGAGGGUAGCGGAAUUCCUGGUGUAGCAGUGAAAUGCGUAGAGAUCAGGAGGAACAUCCAUGGCGAAGGCAGCUACCUGGACCAACACUGACACUGAGGCACGAAAGCGUGGGGAGCAAACAGGAUUAGAUACCCUGGUAGUCCACGCCCUAAACGAUGCGAACUGGAUGUUGGGUGCAAUUUGGCACGCAGUAUCGAAGCUAACGCGUUAAGUUCGCGCCUGGGGAGUACGGUCGCAAGACUGAAACUUAAAGG